GCAGAGUGAUCAGUGUGGGUCGGGAGCAGCGGAGAUCAUCGACUGCAUAGAUCCAAUCAGGCCUAUUACCGGGUUCAACAAGAAGCGGCAGCUGGGUUCGCAGUUGGCGACGAGCUUGCCGGUGGCGCUGUCGUAGGUCUCCAUGGUCUCCACCAGGAAGUCUGGCUCGGGGUUUUCGAUGAGCGGGUCAACGCAGCAGGUCGGCUGCCAGAACCACCCUGGCUGGCAGCGAGUCCCCGGCCACUGCAGGAGUCACGAUCCGUUAGACUUCAUUAACAGUUUACCGUACAAGAAAGGCUUUCUGUAAAGCCGAGAGAGAGAGAGAGAGAGAGGAAUAGGUACUAUGAGAGACAGGAUCAUGUAGUCGUAUGAAGCAGCUGCUAGCGCACAAGAGGCGGCGCACAAGAGGAAGCAGAACGUGGGAAGAGCCUUUGAGCCAGCCAUUCUGCAGAGGUGGAGAGGAUGAUCGGGGGAGAGACGCUUCGUGAGGUGAUGAGUCUGAUGGCUCUAUAUAAGCACUACAUUGAAGACACACCCACCUACUGAUAAUUGUUGGACUAAUAAUGCACCGCGAUUGCUGUUAGGGGGGUCUUAAAAUAAUGCACUUCGCAUAAAAUGUCGUACACCAACAUGAAACAUGAGGGACAUUCCCGCAUAUCGCAAGCAUAGUGGGUUGCAAAAUGCAAGGAAAGAAAGUAAGGAAUUUAUUUGAUUAUGGUCUCUCAUAGCUAUAAGAUUAUGGUCUCUCGUAGCUAUAUGGACUAUGUGACAUCGUCAAACCACGAUGUCACCUCCACCCUCCACCCCACCAGCCACUGGACCCUUUCCAUACAUUACAAUCAUUAAUCUUGAUGGAGGUGAACGAGAGAUAAUCAUAAGUAUUUUUCCUCUCUUCUCUUUUGUAUGACUCAUCGUAUUAGAUAUUAUCGUACGCUUCACGCACAUAUUGUUUUACUCACCUGAUCGAGCAACGAUAAUAGUGUGAUAGAAGCGAGCAAGGGAUACUCCUUCGACUAAGGGGCUUGAAAUCUAAGAGAUAGAAAAGGGAUUGAGGAUAAAGACACGAGCAAGAGAUAAUAUAAUUUUAUGACGAAUAAGAGUUAAAGAGUAAGAUGAGAAUGACUAUAUGAUGCGAAUAAAACAAAAAAGUGACAUUAGUAGAAUAAAAAGUAAAAAANNNNNNNNNNNNNNNNNNNNNNNNNNNNNNNNNNNNNNNNNNNNNNNNNNNNNNNNNNNNNNNNNNNNNNNNNNNNNNNNNNNNNNNNNNNNNNNNNNNNCGUGUUAUUAUCUAUCGGCAAACAAUUGACUUGAUAAUUGAUAAGGCAUAUAUUUAGGAUCUCGGCCACGUCGCGAUCCACGCCACGUCACACUCCUGCAGAUUCAACACAAGGGUUGCCUUCCUUCCACGUCGAGUUGGAGCUCGUAUAGGGAGGCACCCUCUCAACAAGUCCCUUCCCAGAAAGCUUGGGACGUUGUCCCAUGGCGUCGUUCCGCGCAUACCGGGUGACGAUUACACGAAGGUACGAUCUUGGGGGUAUCGAUCGUCAAGUCAAAUCCGCGUAUAAUCGAUCCUCGGACAAUAGUAUAAAAUCCCUUGACCGGCAUCUGGCUAGGAGACAAAGAACAGAAGAAAAAAAUCACUGACUUAGUCUACGAUGGGCCAAAGUCGGGAAUCUCCAGACCAGGGCGUGUGUGCAGGAACGUGGCCACCCCCGAACUAGCUCAAUCCCUCAUUGGAGAUGCGACCAUCCUGGCCGUUGAUCCAGACGCGACCAUCCCGACCCCUGAUCCAACUCGGCCUCGAUGCUUCUUCCAAUCGAUCGAGAGGCGCACUCCCGAACGUCGAAAACUCUGGACAUCGACAUGUGAACCAAAACGUGCCGACUCCUCGACCACGGCACGUAAGUUCACCAACAAAAAUAACGACGCAUUGUUGAAACAUUGAUUAUAAUCAAAGAAGAACGUUCUCAAAAUUAUUUUAAAAAAUAUUUUAUUUCUACCUAAUUAGUCAAUUAUUUAAAAUUUUUUUGAUGAUCAAUUCAUUUUCACUAACUCAGUAAAAUAUAAUAUUUGAAGAAAAUUAUACUGAAGAUAGAAUGUAAUAAAUGUAAUUAUAUAUAUAUAAUUAAUAUUUUUAAAAUAUAUUAAAUCGGAUAAUUUUACGGAAUAAGGUUUUGAGUCGUUCGAUGUAUGACUCUGUUAUAUCAAUAUAAGAUGAUAUUUUAGAUAUUAAAAAUAUAUACGAGACAACAUUUUGGUGCAGUUAUAUAUGUUUAAGAAAGACCACUUUUAUUACUGCAGGUGUGAAGAAGAUGCGACUCUACAACUCGGGAGUAAAAGACGAAGCGACAGCUCACAUCACCAUAAGUGCAAGCAUGUGGAUCACGCCAAGCAGAAGAAGACAGGCUUAAAGCAGUUCCUCCAUCACAGUGCCAUCUCGUCGCCGGAGGGCAACUCGAUCACUGUCUUGGAAACGGCGUCGUCUUCACGGCCUUGCAGUGGGUACGACACAGGGGGGAACUUGACCGUGUCGCCGCAGUUACUCUCCCUGCCGUUGGGGCAGCCGAUGAUCGACCUCCCGUCGCUGGAGACGCAGACGCGGAUCUGGUAGAGGUAGUCUUCGUAGAAGAAAGGCCAGAGAAUGUAAUUCCUGGUGCACACCACCGUGAACGAGAACCCGAUCCUGGGCACCAACGCGUCGUUGAUGUCGUCCAGGCUGUAGCUCUUCGUCGCGUGCGGUAUGAUCCCACUCGAGCCCAGGUUGACGAGGGGGUCCACCUUCUUCCUGAGUUGAAGCGCCCGGUCGAAGUAGAGCGACUGGUUGAGGCUGGAGCAAGUGCCGUAGGUGCACCACACGUCCUUCCAGUGGGGCAUCCCGCUGUUGCUGGGACAGGUCAGGUUGGCGUAGUACGUGUACAAGUUGUCGAGCAUGUUCACCAGCUGUCCAAACAAGACAAAGCGGUCAUCAUCGACAUCUCGGCCGAGUUAGCUCGGGUGGAGGAGGCUAACGAGACUCACCGGAAGUAUCUUGAAGACGCAGCUUCUGCUGCAGCCGGUGACCGGUUUACCGGUGGCGCUGUCGUAGGUUUCCAGGGCUUGGACGAGGAAGUCCGCCGCCGGCUCGCCAUUCGUCGGCAUACAGCACUUCCCUGUCGGUUGCGAGCUAGCACAGUAGCUUCCUGGCCACUGCAGUGAGAAGGACAUCAUACCAUCACCCAUCUUGCCAUCGAUGGUUACCACUACUGCAGGAAACCAGAACCAAGUAGAGGGUAACUAUACCAUAAGUUUCAAGAUCAGGUAGUCGGGCUUCGAAGCUGCCCUUGCCGCCGGAGAGGAAGACAAGCAUAACAGCAAGACAAGCAAGCAGAUCCCAGGAAGAGCCUUGAGGAUAGCCAUUCUGCAGGAGCUGUCGAGUUGCCUUGGUGAUGGUGGAUAAUAUAAGCCCAUCGUGGAACACACUGGUUGUGGCCUGGUGGUGGCGGGAUCCAUGGCAGCUCUAUCAAGAAAUGGCUGUCCUCGUCUCAGCCAUCAGCCUCUCCCCACGAGUUUCACGUGGCUUGCAGAUCUCAUCGCUUUCGAGAAAUGGUCGCCGUGCUGUUCACCACCAAUUUAAUGAUGACAUUAAAAUAAUGGCACAGUACAAGAUCAGAUGAUGUUCCAUGUGACUGACUUCUUUUAUUUGGACUCUCUCUCUCUCUCAUGAUUCGGGAACGGACAAGGAGAUGGAAGCAUUGAUUACAGUCGAGCCACCCAAACAACACCCCACUCCUCGCCAUCAAAUGUUCUUAUCUUCACAGACCGAACAUCAUUGAAGGGACUAAUAAGAAGAAGAUGGAUAGCAACCUGAUCGAAACAAGAACAAUGUUGAGAUGGGGAGGGGUUACGAACCGGUUCUGAGAAAGAUUUCUAGAUGUGAUUUCCUCUAAAGAAAUCAUGCAUUAAUUUGUUCUUGACCAAGUACAACAUGACUCGGAGAUUGGUAGACAAGAAAAAUGUAUUCAGAUCGUUCAUAAUUUCAUUUAAGAAAACCGAUCUAGAAGGAUUUUUUUUUGCGACAAUUAGGGAUUGAAAAUAGUCACGAUUAAGCCACUAAGUAGGGGUGAUGGUAAUUUCAGAACGGUCAAUUUUGAUUUCCGAAAUCAGCAACCGAGAAAAUAAAGAGUUAAAAAUAAUUAUAAUGAAUAUCAAAGUCUUUCCUCCAAUUACUAUAUGUUAGGAUAAAAAAUAUCGUUGAUGCGUGUAUUAGCAUGAUGUGAUCCUGAUCCGCAUACGAGGAGUCGAUAGAACAAGAUUUCUUCGAUCUCGUUCAUAUACAAAGACUAAGAUUGAAAGGGAUUUUCCGAGUUGAUUUAUCUAAUGCUUAACUUAGCACUUAGUUGCAUACAAAGACUUAUUUUUUUUUUAAUGAAGAUCCUAUAGAGAAAAAGUUCGAACUCAACUAUCUUUUUUAUUUUUAUGAUAUAUUUUUGUGAAUAUUUUUAUAGGAAAACUAGUUUAUAAUCAACUCAAACUACCUUUUAAUAUUCCUGAAAUAUUCCUACAAAUAUUUUGUAAGAAAGUCUGAAUUGUCUUAUGGGAAUAAUUCACGAUUAGCUAGUUUUUAAUUGAUCUGAAUUAUCUUCAAUUUUUUAUGAAUAUUUAAAUAUUUCAUCGAGGAGGUAGCUUAACAAAUCGGUAAUUGACCCGAGCUAUCUUUUGAGUUCGAAUAGAAAAUAUUGGCUUAAUAUGACAUUGACGUUACGAACGAUGACUAACCAAUUUAAUAUUUUCUUUCGCUAUGUGUAGUCAAACACUAUGUGAGUUGUGUUCAAACCACAAACUCUACGUAGCUAAAGAAAAAAAAAAAGGUAAGAUUAUUUUGUAUGAUCUAUAUUGAUCAAACGAUAAACAAGAAAAAAAUAGAAAAAGGUAAGAUAAGAUUAUUUUUUAUGGUCUCAUCGAAUAAAGUUUAUGUCGUCGAAACAAUUUCUAUGGUUACAAGAAUAGUGGAAGUCUCGUCAAGAGGAAACAAAAGAAUAUGGAAUAUGUGGAUCUCCUUUUUCCACGAAGGAGAGAUGGCAGAAGAAUUUUGUGUUCGAAUCCCAUCAUUUAUUUUGUAUCAAAAAAAGACACUAAUUCAACGAAAAGCUGAACACAAAUGAUGGAGAGAUGGAGUUUAGAUAUCAAACGUAUGGGAAUUUUACCUUCAUUAAGUAAAAUCCCAACUUGUUCAUGACAGGUAAUAUGCUCUGUUGUUAUUUGAUUAAUCUUAGAGACAGAGAUCAUAAAACAACAUCUUAUUCCAGUAGAUCGCAAGACGAUGAUGACAUCCUACACACAGGCAAUUCAUCAUGUUUGAGUGCCAAGAUGAUGAUGAUGACAUCCGCAUGACAAGAGGGCAGUAAUCCGUGGAUCGAUCACUGAGUCAUCGCCUUGUCCGAUGGCAACUUGAUGUGGUCGACCGCCGGAUGGCGCGGGCGCCCGAGCAUGUCGUCCGUGAACGGGUAGAACUUGACCUUGCUGCCGCAGUUGCUCUUCCUGGCGAAGGGACAACCGAUGAGAGACUUGCCGUCGGCGGAGACGCAGAUGCGGACUCUGGAGAGCAGGUAUUCCCGACUCAGCACGCCCAUCUCCGUGGUGCACUCCACCACCGCCGAGAACCCGAUCUUGGGCACCAGCGCGUCCUCGAUGUCCUCCAAACUGUAGCUCUUCGUCUCCGACGGGAUGAUGGCUUGAGAUCAGGAACAGAUCCAUGCGUUAGCUGCAGACACUUGUAAGCUCGAGGUCGGCGUGCAGGGCAGGGCUGCUUACCUUUGGAGCCGAGAGCACGGAGGAUGUCCACUCGAGCCCGGAGCUGAAGCGCCCGGCCGAAGUAAUUCACCUCGCUGAGGCUGGUACAGUUGCCGUAGGUACACCAGGCGGCCUUCCACACCUGCUUCCCGUUCUGGGCUGGGCAGCUCAAGCUGGGCCAGUAGGCGUUCAAGUCGUCCAACAGAUCGACAAGCUGUGGCAUGCGCAGAGUGAUCAGUGUGGGUCGGGAGCAGCGGAGAUCAUCGACUGCAUAGAUCCAAUCUGGCCUAUUACCGGGUUUAUCAAGAAGCGGCAGUUGGGUUCGCACUUGGCGACGAGCUUGCCGGUGGCGCUGUCGUAGGUCUCCAUGGUCUCCACCAGGAAGUCUGGCUCGGGGUUGCCGAUGAGCGGGUCAACGCAGCAGGUCGGCUUCCCGUUCCACCCUGGCUGGCAGCGAGUCCCCGGCCACUGCAGGAGUCACGAUCCAUUAGACUUCAUUAGCAAUUCACAGUAGGACUCAUCGAUUGCACAAGAAGGGCUUUCUGUAAAGCCGAAACAAAAGAGAGAGAGGAAUAGGUACUCUGAGAGACAGGAUCAUGUAGUCGUAUGAAGCAGCUGCUAGCGCACAAGAGGCGGCGCACAAGAGGAAGCAGAACGUGGGAAGAGCCUUUGAGCCGGCCAUUCCGCAGAGGUGGGAAGGAUGAUCGGGGGAGAUGAUGAGUCUGAUGGCUCUAAAUAAGCACGAAGACACACCCACCCACCCACCGAUAAUUGUUGGGCUACAUCGAUAUUGUUCUCGUGAGUAUAAUAUAAUAUAAUAUAAUGCACCUCGAUUGCGGCAUGGGGGUCGUAAAAUAAUGCACUUCGCUUUAAAUUUCGUACACCAACGUGAAACACGUGGGACGUUCCCGCAUCCCGCAAUCGUAGUGGGUUGGAAAGUGCGAGGAAAAAAAGAAGGAUUUUAUUUGAUUAUGGUCUCUCAUAGCAUAUUAUACUCUUCAUCUAAAUUAGGGAUUAAAAGGCUUCGAGACCAAGCAAGUGAAUAAUAAUAAAAUAAUAUAUUAAAAAAUCGAUCAAGAAAAAAUCCGUAAAAUAUUUUAUUCAUCUUUGAACAUGCUUUCGACCAUGCAUUAUUGAAACAUAUUCGUCCAUUUGAAAUAUCAUAUCUUUAAUCGCAUAUUACAUAUCAUAUGAAUUGGAUAUGUGUACUACCAUUAUUUUCCUUAAAUAAUAAUUUAAAUUUAUUAAAUUAAAAUUUAUGCCUGUGGACAUUAUUGUGUGAUCGGAACUGAGAACGAAGACUCGAACAAUGCAAAGGUCCGUAAGGUCUCGCCGAAUCAUCUUCCUUUGUCUUCCCUUUUACGCCAUCGGCGGUACCGAUGCAUUCGAUCCGGAGCUGGGCCUUCUCCGCCCUGAUCCUGGCUGUCACCGUCCUCUUCUUCUUCUUCUUCGACUGGCCGUCUCCUCCUCUUCAAGAAAUAGCCGGAGAUAUUCCUGGAUCCUUGAAUGACAUCGCUGUGACGGUAGGCCAUGGCUUCGAUUUCUUUCUCUCCCCUUCCUCUUCCCUUACCUUCUUUUCCCUUAGGAUAGGACAUAUUUUGGCCUUAUAUGAACCACCGAUAGACGUUGCAGAUCGACACAACACCGUACGCCUCCAAAACCGUGGGGUGCAUGCCACGUCAAGAGCCAACGAUGCAAUUGUGCGGCUUGACCACCUCAAAAGCUGGGGGCGGUGCCGUCUGCUGCUAGGGCAGUGUCGUCUGACGCCCCUCGAGCACCCUCGAAGAUGUCAUCUUGUCAGAGAGGUUGUUCCGCCCCUAGAGUUAACGACCAUAUCGGACCAGGGCCCGACCAAUUACCGCACGCAGGUAUAAAUACCCCCGACCUGAUCCAAAAAAAAGGGAGAAAAGGAUGAGAGAUUUAGAAUGAAUCUAACUUGCUCGUCGGAGGGGCCAAAGUUGGGACUUACCCUACGAGGGUCUUUUUGCAGAGAGGUAGUCGUCGCUGAGACGCGAAUGUCGUCUUCACACGGACGGUGCCCGGUACGCAGAGGAGGGUGGCCCAACGAGUCGGACUCGACAAGUGUCAGCCCGCAUCUCCCAUCUCCAAGAGGCUUCCACACCACAAGGAGGAUCCCCAACCAUCCGAGGGGAUGAGAGGACGCAUCUUCUCAUGAACAAUGCUCAUAUCGGCCAACUUUGGAAAGCCGGCUCACAGCGAGGCUCAGGCCGACCUUGCCACCUCAACCGGCGCUCAACGCGUUUAAGGGGCGCAACCACUCAAACGAUAGUAAUUCCGCCAGAAGUUCCCGACGUCGGCAGGUGGGCCUAGUCAUGCUGACAUAUUAGUCACGACAUGUUUGUUCACUAACAUUUUGGCCCUAGAAGAAGGGCCCAUGUCGCGGGAAUAGCUGGCAAGAACGUGCCCUGGGAGGGAACCCCCGACCGACCUCCCUUUCGCUGAGCCAGAAGGACAACCCCUCUCUACCCCUAUGGACGGAGGGAUACCGAUUUCAACGCUUGAUCGUUACUGGCGCUUGUUCAACGACCCGGGACUAUCCCCCCCGGGGCUCACCCCGGGGGGCCCGGCUGUGAUGCCCGAGGCAUUCCUUAGCCUAACCAAGCAAGUAUAGACCAUGACAGGCAUGAUGCACUCACUCGCCCCGAUCACUCCCCAAAUCGGGCAGCCCUCGAUGCCCUCGACCGAUCCGACCCGGCAACCCCCGAACGGGGAACAGCUCGGGGUUGGGCCAGCCUCGUGGCGAGCAACGGACCCGAGGGGUCCUCCCGUGCAAAAUGCGCCCACAGCUUGCUGAGCCACCCCAUCUCAUCUAGAGCCCGAUACUAUAUCAUCUGACUCGGCGAACGACUCACUCAGAGCUCAGUUGUCCCGGGUCAAUCAGCACCUGGACGAGUUCCAGCGUGAGCUUUGGAGAUUGCGUAGUGAGCCUAGCGAGGGCGCUUUGGUUGGGUCCCUCUUUACCCAAGAAGUACAAGAUAAGCCGGUCCCCCUCAACUUCAGGUUCCCGACAUUAGAAACGUACGAUGGAGGCUCGAUCCCAUGGAGCAUGUCUUUGUAUUCCGGGCCUAGAUGGCCCUCUAUGGUGCCUCCGAUGUGCUGAUGUGCCGAGUGUUUCCGACCACUCUGCGUGGCCCGGCGUGGACAUGGUUCAGCCGGCUGUGUCAAGCUUCAGUCUCGUCCUUCGACCAGGUGGUCGAGGAAUUUGAGCAAAGCUUCCUCACCGGCGCACGGCCCAGGCCCUCCAUGGCCACUUUGCUUGCACUAUCUCAGCACGAGGACGAGUCGCUCUCUCAGUUCGUGGCACGGUUCACACUAAGAUCCGAGGUUUUUCAGAUACUCACCCUUCUCUAAUCUUGCAAGCCUUUAUGAUGGGUCUUAAACCUUUAAGGUUCUUAUGGUCGUUGAUCGAGAAGCCGCCAGCGACCAUCUCUGAGAUGCUUCUACGUGCCAACCAGUACAUUGCCGUCGAGGCUUUAGUGGCGGGGAGGCACGUGGAAGGCAAGAAGCUCAGGAUGGAGCUGUCUCGAGGAACGGCCUCGGCGUUCCCGACGCCUCCCCGCCGGGGGCUCAACCGACAAGAGCUGCUACUCCCAAGACCCCCACCUCUCCCCCUAAACACAUCCCGUUCCGAGAUCUUCCUCUAGAUCAAAGAGACGAGCCUCUUGCAGCAGCCUUGCCCUAUGAAGGCCGCCCACAGAGACCAAUCUAAAUACCGUGGGGAUCCGUCGGCACACCCCGGAGGUGGGGGAGAAGUGAUAGGGCAUAUUUUGGCUCUAGAUGAAUCACCAACAAAUGUCACAAACCAAUAGCCACGAACGCAAUGCCAUGCGCCACCAGAACCACGGGGUGCAUGCCACGUCAAGUUCGGUACUAUGUGAUUGUGCGACUUGACCACCCCAAGAGCUCGGGGCGGUGUCGUCUACUUUUGGGACAGUGCCGUCUGACGCCACUCAAGCACCCCCAAGGAUGCCAUCUCGUCAAAGAAGUUAUCCCACCCCCAUGAAAGUUAGCGGCCACGCCGAACUGAGGCACAACCAACUCUCGCACGCAAGUAUAAAUACCCCCGUCCGAUCCCGAUGAGAGAAGAAAAAAAGGAGGAAGAAAAAACAGGGGAAUCCGAACUAAUCUAACUUGCUUGUCGGUGGGGCCAAAGUCGAGAGACACUCGACGAAGACCGUUUUGCAGGGAGGUGAUCGCCACUGAGCUGCGAGCGUCUCCACCCUGAAGUUGUCACCUAAUGCGCAGAGGAGGGUGGUCCAGUGGUUCGGAUCCCAACCAGCGCCGGCCUGCAUCUCCCAUCUCAAGGGUGUGCCCACGUCGCGGGGAAAGAUUGCCAACUAUCCCGGGGAUGAGAGGACACAUCUCGCCAGAAGCGACGCUCAGGUCGGCUAGCUUUGGAGUGCUAACCCCCAGCCGCUCGCGAGGACCCGACCGACCCUACCGCCUCAACCCUCGCUCGUAACGCUCGAGAGGCGCAACCAUCUCAUCAUCCUACUCAUUCCACUAGAAGUUUCCGACGUCGGUCCGUGGACCAAACUGUGAUGUCUCAUCAGCCAUGGUACUUUUGUUCACUAACAGACAUCAAACAUAUGGGAAUUUUACCUUCAUUAAUUAAAAUCCCAACUUGUUCAUGACCGGUAAUAUGCUAUGUGAUUAUUUGAUUAAUCUUAGAGACAGAGAUCAUAAAACAUCAUCUUAUUCCAGCAUAUGGCAAGACGAUGAUGACAUCCUACACACAGGCAAAUCAUCGUGUUUUAGUGCCAAGAUGAUGAUGAUGAUAUCCGCAUGACAUCGUACACAUAUCGCCUUGUCCGAUGGCAACUUGAUAUGGCCGGCCGCCGGAUGGCGCGGGCGCCCGAGCAUGUCGUCCGUGAACGGGUAGAACUUGACCUUGCUGCCGCAGUUGCUCUUCCUGGCGAAGGGACAACCGAUGAUAGACUUGCCGUCGGCGGAGACGCAGAUGCGGACUCUGGAGAGCAGGUAUUCCCGACUCAGCACGCCCAUCUCCGUGGUGCACUCCACCACCGCCGAGAACCCGAUCUUGGGCACCAGCGCGUCCUCGAUGUCCUCCAAACUGUAGCUCUUCGUCUCCGACGGGAUGAUGGCUUGAGAUCAGGAACCGAUCCAUGCGUUAGCUGCAGACACUUGUAAGCUCGAGGUCGGCAUGCAGGGCAGGGCUGCUUACCUUUGGAGCCGAGGGCAUGGAGGACGUCGGCUCGAGCCCGGAGCUGAAGCGCCCGGCCGAAGUAAUUCACCUCGCUGAGGCUGGUACAGUUGCCGAAGGUACACCAGGCGGCCUUCCACACCUGCUUCCCGUUCUGGGCUGGGCAGCUCAAGCUGGGCCAGUAGGCGUACAAGUCGUCCAACAGAUCGACAAGCUGUGGCAUGAGCAGAGUGAUCAGUGUGGGUCGGGAGCAGCGGAGAUCAUCGACUGCAUACAUCUAAUCUGGCCUAUUACCGGGUUUAUCAAGAAGCGGCAGUUGGGUUCGCACUUGGCGACGAGCUUGCCGGUGGCGCUGUCGUAGGUCUCCAUGGUCUCCACCAGGAAGUCUGGCUCGGGGUUGUCGAUGAGCGGGUCAACGCAGCAGGCCGGCUUCCCGGUCCACCCUGGCUGGCAGCUAGUCCCCGGCCACUGCACGAGUCACGAUCCAUUAGACUUCAUUAGCAGUUCACCGCAGGAGUCAUCGUUUGCACAAGAAAGGCUUUCUGUAAAGCCGAAACAAAAGAGAGAGAGAGAGAGAGAGAGAGAGAGAGAGGAAUUAGGUACUAUGAGAGACAGGAUCAUGUAGUCGUAUGAAGCAGCUGCUAGCGCACAAGAGGCGGCACACAAGAGGAAGCAGAACGUGGGAAGAGCCUUUGAGCCAGCCAUUCUGCAGAG
RNAcentral lists this long non-coding RNA (11668 nucleotides) under Musa acuminata (dwarf banana). RNAcentral describes it as "long non-coding RNA (MACU_LNC005041)". The record is from RNAcentral. Lineage: Eukaryota; Viridiplantae; Streptophyta; Magnoliopsida; Zingiberales; Musaceae.